GAAGUUUUGGCUCAGUGGUAGAGUGCUUGCCUGGCAUGCAUGAGGCCCUGGGUUCGAUCCUCAGUACUGCA
Molecule: transfer RNA, 71 nt
Filed under: Ictidomys tridecemlineatus (thirteen-lined ground squirrel)
Lineage: Eukaryota; Metazoa; Chordata; Mammalia; Rodentia; Sciuridae
Description: Spermophilus tridecemlineatus (thirteen-lined ground squirrel) tRNA
Rfam family: tRNA
About the family: Transfer RNA (tRNA) molecules are approximately 80 nucleotides in length. Their secondary structure includes four short double-helical elements and three loops (D, anti-codon, and T loops). Further hydrogen bonds mediate the characteristic L-shaped molecular structure. tRNAs have two regions of fundamental functional importance: the anti-codon, which is responsible for specific mRNA codon recognition, and the 3' end, to which the tRNAs corresponding amino acid is attached (by aminoacyl-tRNA synthetases). tRNAs cope with the degeneracy of the genetic code in two manners: having more than one tRNA (with a specific anti-codon) for a particular amino acid; and 'wobble' base-pairing, i.e. permitting non-standard base-pairing at the 3rd anti-codon position.
Source: Rfam by way of RNAcentral